Molecule: long non-coding RNA, 419 nt
Organism: Balaenoptera ricei (Rice's whale)
Lineage: Eukaryota; Metazoa; Chordata; Mammalia; Artiodactyla; Balaenopteridae
Exons: 3
Source: RefSeq, a predicted model, not a curated record
AGGUUGGGAAGUUAUGAUCAAAGCAUCAGUAGAUUCAGUGUCUGGUGAGGACCCACUUACUCAUUCAUAAACUGGUGAUUGGAUGAAAUUAAAGUUUGAAAUUAAAGACCAGUAGAUUCCAAAGGAGACUGAAAUAAUAUCUUCGGAAAUUCAAGUGUGAUGUAACAGUAUACUAGAGAGGAAGACGUGGAAAUUCAACAAUAUCACACAAGAGAGUUGAAGAAUCAGAGGUGGUGGUUUGGCACCUCCUAUGACACACAGAUCCCAGGUCGUUUUGCCACAAAGCUUUACUUCAAAACAUCUGCCUGCUUUUGCCCAGCCUUUGUGUUGUCCAGAUGGAGGAGGUGAACCUGCAGGAGCGAGGCCUUUGUUUGCUUGCAAGUGGAAUGUUUCCUAAGGGAAUGAAUGGUGUAUCCUUC